UACGUAGGGUGCGAGCGUUAAUCGGAAUUACUGGGCGUAAAGCGUGCGUAGGCGGUUCGUUAAGUUCGUUGUGAAAGCCCCGGGCUCAACCUGGGAAUGGCAAUGGAAACUGGCGGGCUUGAGUAUGGCAGAGGGGGGUGGAAUUCCGCGUGUAGCAGUGAAAUGCGUAGAGAUGCGGAGGAACACCGAUGACGAAGGCAGCCCCCUGGGCCAAUACUGACGCUCAGGCACGAAAGCGUGGGGAGCAAACAGG
Molecule: ribosomal RNA, 253 nt
Filed under: uncultured bacterium
Lineage: Bacteria
Description: partial 16S ribosomal RNA
Rfam family: Bacterial small subunit ribosomal RNA
Source: RNAcentral